GCGACUCUAGCUCACUGAGGACAUGGCCAGUGAUAGGAAGGUAUGGAGGUCGAGCAUUAGGGUUGUAGAUUAGUAGUAGUUGAGCAUUUUUCUACUCCGUACAGGAUGUAAGGCUAGUGUGUUAGUGUCUUGUUUUCGUAUGCUAGUGGUACGUGUUGUGUUCAGAUUAUUUUUCCGUUCCGGUUUCCUAGUACCUUGCCAUUGUUACUAAUUAUUGAUAUUGCUUUUUUCAUUUAUUUUUUUUAUUCUUAGAUCGCUGGUACUAUCUUUUUGGCCUCUGUUGUUGGUACUGUUCUAUUGUCUUUUUUCAUCUUCUUGUGCCGAGGGUCUAUCGAAACAACUUCUCUAUCCCACAGGGUAGUGGUAAGGUCUGCAUACACACUACCAUCCUAAAACACCACUUGUGGGAUUAUACAGGGUUAUUGUUGUUGUAUUGGAUGUCCCUGAAGAGACCGAAAUGGAACCUUAAAGUAAAAGAUCUUUUUUCCCAUCUAACAAUUUUCAUGUGUACCGUAUUUGACUAGUUGACUAACUACUCUUUCUUCAGUGCUGCAAAUCAUGUAAAAUUUAUUUUGUUCUGAACCUUGAGCUUUUGCAACCAUAGUUCUCUGGCUGAUUAGGAGUACUGUCCUCUUUUUCUGGUCUUUGCUCUCAGAAAUUUUUGUUUCUCUUUCUUCCUACCUCCCAUCUGUUUUCUUUCCUCUUCCUCUCUGUCUAAUACAUGCACCUUCAUCACAUAGGUCCAGAAAUGAUAUCUGCAAGUAGAACUUUCAGAGCUUAAAACUUGUGAUUUCCUUAAGCUUGGUUAUGUAGUGACUAAACUGGCAACUGGAAAUACUCUGAUGCAAUUUCUUAUUGAUAUUUCAUGCUUGCUUCUCUUAUGUUUUCCUGAUAAAAACUUUAUGUUCUUUUUUUGGUUACUGCAGGCGUUCUAUAAAGUUUUUAGGAGCUGGGCUUCUAAAAAAUUCAUGACCGGAUGGUAAGAAUGGUUCUCUCUUCAAAUAUCCUUUGGUCUAGAUGUAGGCUUAACUUUUUGGGGUCACCUUUACUGUAUUGGAAACCUAAAGUGGUUUUAGGAAGCCACCAUUAAGUAUUGCACUUGUAGGAAGAAGGCGAUGUUUUUCCCACUUUGCUUUUCUGAUGACAAAUACAUUCAUUUCAGAAAUAGUGUGAUCCUGUUCAGUUCUGGCGAGGGUUAUGACCUUGAAGAUAAUGCUGCAUAACUGGUCUUUCCUCCUGAAGACACAUUGAAUUAAAUGUGGCAGAUGUUUAGUAAGAGUGUGGUGCUUAGUUUUCCCUUGCUCAUUUUUCUCUUCUUUUGAGGGUGGGAUGUUUGGGGGUGGAUAUGUGUCUCAGAGACAAAAGUUAGUGCAAAUUUACUUUAUGGGAUCCAAAUGCAUUAUAGAUUACAGAAUGAGUGAACAUGCUGGAUAAGCAUGUCUAGACAAACUACACCCCAUUGCAAACAUCAAAAUAGUUGAUUGAUAGUAGGCUAUAUUUAUGCAAUUUAGACAUUAUUUAUACUCUAAUUUAGCUGCACUUUAUUGAUAUUUGAAUGCUAAAAGAUAACAAAAUGCUUUAAUUAAGAAUUUUAUGCUUUGCAGGAGCCACUCCGAGCUAGGAGAAAACUAAAGAGUGUUUUGGAGUCAAUAUGGAGUGUGGAAGGCCAAUCGAAGGUUAGCCCGAUCGAAAAGAGCGAGAAAAGCAAGCGGGGGGUCCCCUCCAGAUGUGCGGCCACGGAGUUGACCGCGAAUUGGACCGCGCACUGGAGGCAGAACACUGGCUGAAAUUCGCGGCCGCGGACGGGCGGACGGAGGCCAACAACUCAGGAGCAAUUAUGUAAUUUCUAAGGCGACUAACCUAAACCUAUAUGAAGCCUAAUUCGCCCAGAAGAGAAGGGGAGCUAUUUUUAGGAGUUUUUGGAGGCAAGAACAAGAGAGAGAAGACGAAGAAUUUCCUAAGAGUUUUCAUCUUCUUCUUCUUACUUCCAUUGUUGAUUAUGGAUUGUUAUAGUGAAUUUUUAUCCAUUA
This 2030-nucleotide long non-coding RNA is filed under the name Nicotiana tabacum (common tobacco). RNAcentral describes it as "long non-coding RNA (NTAB_LNC014518)". Lineage: Eukaryota; Viridiplantae; Streptophyta; Magnoliopsida; Solanales; Solanaceae. The record is from RNAcentral.